Molecule: ribosomal RNA, 301 nt
Filed under: uncultured bacterium
Lineage: Bacteria
Description: partial 16S ribosomal RNA
Rfam family: Bacterial small subunit ribosomal RNA
Source: RNAcentral
CAGCCGCCGCGGGAAAACGGAGGGUGCAAGCGUUAAUCGGAAUUACUGGGCGUAAAGCGCACGCAGGCGGUCUGACAAGUCAGAUGUGAAAUCCCCGGGCUUAACCUGGGAACUGCAUUUGAAACUGUCAGGCUGGAGUCUUGUAGAGGGGGGUAGAAUUCCAGGUGUAGCGGUGAAAUGCGUAGAGAUCUGGAGGAAUACCGGUGGCGAAGGCGGCCCCCUGGACAAAGACUGACGCUCAGGUGCGAAAGCGUGGGGAGCAAACAGGAUUAGAUACCCCAGUAGUCCCUGUCUCUUAUAC